UCUCCUGGAAACGGGUGGUAAUGCCGGAUGUUCCACAUGAUCGCAUGUGAUUGUGGGAAAGAUUCUAUCGGCGUGGGAUGGGGUCGCGUCCUAUCAGCUUGUUGGUGAGGUAACGGCUCACCAAGGCUUCGACGGGUAGCCGGCCUGAGAGGGCGACCGGCCACAUUGGGACUGAGAUACGGCCCAGACUCCUACGGGAGGCAGCAGUGGGGAAUAUUGCACAAUGGGCGCAAGCCUGAUGCAGCGACGCCGCGUGAGGGAUGGAGGCCUUCGGGUUGUAAACCUCUUUUGUUUGGGAGCAAGCCUUCGGGUGAGUGUACCUUUCGAAUAAGCGCCGGCUAACUACGUGCCAGCAGCCGCGGUAAUACGUAGGGCGCAAGCGUUAUCCGGAUUUAUUGGGCGUAAAGGGCUCGUAGGCGGCUCGUCGCGUCCGGUGUGAAAGUCCAUCGCUUAACGGUGGAUCUGCGCCGGGUACGGGCGGGCUGGAGUGCGGUAGGGGAGACUGGAAUUCCCGGUGUAACGGUGGAAUGUGUAGAUAUCGGGA
RNAcentral lists this ribosomal RNA (544 nucleotides) under Bifidobacterium bifidum. RNAcentral describes it as "bacterial SSU rRNA". It matches the Rfam family "Bacterial small subunit ribosomal RNA", at positions 146 to 702 of the family's 1533-position model. The record is from RNAcentral. Lineage: Bacteria; Bacillati; Actinomycetota; Actinomycetes; Bifidobacteriales; Bifidobacteriaceae.